RNAcentral lists this microRNA precursor (107 nucleotides) under Rosa chinensis. Its description in RNAcentral is "sRNA RchiOBHm_Chr4g0440281". It matches the Rfam family "mir-395 microRNA precursor family". From Rfam's summary of the family: mir-395 was identified in both Arabidopsis thaliana and Oryza sativa computationally and was later experimentally verified. mir-395 is thought to target mRNAs coding for ATP sulphurylases. The mature sequence is excised from the 3' arm of the hairpin. Lineage: Eukaryota; Viridiplantae; Streptophyta; Magnoliopsida; Rosales; Rosaceae. The record is from RNAcentral.
AUGUCCCCUAGAGUUCCUUCAAACACUACAUUGGGGAGUACUGGCUAGUACUCGAUCAUCCUCUGAUCUUUCCCUACUGAAGUGUUUGGGGGGACCCCUGGAGCCAU